Long non-coding RNA from Cynoglossus semilaevis (tongue sole), 2430 nucleotides. RefSeq lists it as uncharacterized. NCBI's taxonomy places the organism in Eukaryota, Metazoa, Chordata, Actinopteri, Pleuronectiformes, Cynoglossidae. The transcript is spliced from 2 exons. The record is from RefSeq and is a predicted model, not a curated record.
CCUGACUUCAAAUGACCCUCGACCCAAAAUCAGUCCUAGACCCGAUGGUUAGGAACCUCUGCUGUUCAGCUACAUGACCUGUAGUAGUGAUAAAAUGCGAAAGGUGGUUGAAUAGGUUACACUUCUCAAGUCAAUGAAAAUGUAUUAUUCUUGAUCCUUUUCUGAAAAAAAAAUAUGCGCACAUUUAUUUAAAAAAAAUAAAAUAAACCAUACGAUUAUAAGAAUCAGAAUGAUUUGUUGGAAUAUUUGUGGGUUUAAAUGUUUACAGGUGUACAGGUACUCACAGAAACUGCAGUAUCUGCAUUAGAAGCCCAGUACAUUUCUUAUCUAGGGUUGAUUUUUUUUUUUUUUAUAACUCUUAAGCUCCUUCAGCCGUAGCAUCUACAGUCUAUAGAUAGUAUUCUUCUAACCUGGAUGCUCUGGUGAAGAUGGUUCACGGUAACCAUGGUAACAAGAGCAAGGCUUUAUUUUAUUUUUACAUUAACUUAUCCACCAACAUCCUGCUUCAGUUACACGUCUUCCACUCUUUUAAGGCUGUGUUUACGUGGUUCCUCCUCUUUGUACUCACUCUUUUAAUCAUCUUGAUUUUCUACUAACGACUAGUUACCUGGUUUGACCACAAGGAGUUUUUUCUCAACAGCUUUGCUUUGAAUCUUUUGGUGGACAAAAAGAAAAUGUCAUCCUAUGCUUAGGUUUCGGCUUCUUGUGGCUAACCAUUAGGCGUGUGCUAUAUUUCUUGCUACCUUGUUUCUGUUUCUAGGAUGCGCUUUGAUCCGAUGGUUAAAAUGUGGCAAAUUGUAUCUAAAAUUGACUAACUUUUAGCUUACUUUUAGCAGUUCCAGGGAUCAUUUAGUUACAUUUGCUGUGUAUUGGCUAACCUUUGGCUUCUGUGUGGCUAACCUUUAGUUGUCUUUGGGCUGUGUUUGUUCUGCUAAUUUGCGUUCACUACAAGCUUAAGGCUAUUUUCCCAUUAACUUGUUAAUGUUUUCUCUUAUCUACAUUUACUUAGAUUUUUUUUUUUUUAGGUACUUUUUUUGGCUGUAAUUCCCAGCAUUUUCCAUCUAAAUUACCUUGUUGAUUCAAACUUGUUCAUCUCUGCUCUGGGCCUUAUUUACAUGGUGGAACAGUAUUUUGUAACCUGAAAAUGCUCUGUCGUAAUCAUUGUGUCGCGUCAGUAACUGCUGUUUAUUUUACUAAUGAUUAAAUCUGUAUAUUCAACAAAACUUUAAAUAUCUUUCAGCUUUAGCUAAGCUAUCUGUUCUUUGGCUAAGUGAGCCACGGCUAACUAAGCGUAGCUAACUUUAUAUCAUAUAGGCUGCCUGUAUUUUUCUAAGCUGUGUGAAGUGACGCUGUUGUUAGAUUAGAUAAAAGCAACAUUUCCGUAGAAAUUAUCUUCAUUUUAAUGGUAAUUAAGUGAUAAUGAUCGGGACAGUUGAUUUCACAGUGUCAGCCCUUUCCCCCCCUCCCCACACAUUUAUGCUCCAUAACAACAUUGUGCAACAGUGCCAUUCUUUACCUCUGACCUGGGACCAGCAGUUGUCACCGCCUCAUGAUCACUGACAAUGAAACAGCGUCUGACUUUUAUUAGUUUAGACUGAGAUGAUCCAGGACUCCCAGGUUCUCAUUAGGACGCCACAUGACUGAGUGGAUUAUUGUCUGCCUGAGGGAUUAGAUUUAUAUGGUCAUCUGAUUUUGGCUACGAAAAAUCUGCAUCUCCGCCAACUCGUUAAAACCCGUCCAAAUCCAAAAAAACACUGUUUGAGCAGCGCUCAAGGAAACUGUCGUCUGACGUCCAUCAAACAUUUGAGGCUAAACUGACAAAAACACAGCGGCUGGCGCAGAUCUUUCAAUACCCGUUCAAUACGGGAAUUAUGAGCUGGACAUAUUGUUCUUUGUAGUUUUCCAGCUCUGCCAGAGAACCACCCACGGAAAACACCCACAUAUUCACACGCACAGCUAGAAAAAGACAGCAGAGAAGAAGGAGAAAACAAAAAAAGGAGCAAAUGACGAGAUGAGUCUCACAGAAAAUAAAUAUAAAAACAAUCAUCGACAGCACAGAGAGUUAACCAGCUAAUUAGUACAAAUGACACAGGACUUUGGGGUAAACAGCCUUUUAAAUAUCUGGCAGAGAGAAUAUACCGGAACUGACAUCGGUUUAAUUAACGUUAUUAUAGUGGAAUCAAACGACAGUUGAAGGUAGUCACGUGAUUUGGUUAUUACAAAAAGUGCCUUCAAGGAUUAUGGUGUAGUAAAUGAAAUGCCCUUGUCCCGGGCCUUACAAUUCCAGAAUGAUCACAUAGCGUCCUCUGCUGGCCAACUAACGAAAAUACAUUUUCACGUUCUUAUCUAUAAUAUUUUACGUGGGUAAAAGAAGACGUAGACUUAGAAGAAGUAGAAAAAUAUAUUAAAUAGAAAUUCAAGUCAGUUCUU